Molecule: non-coding RNA, 30 nt
Filed under: Mus musculus (house mouse)
Lineage: Eukaryota; Metazoa; Chordata; Mammalia; Rodentia; Muridae
Source: RNAcentral
UAAAAGUAGGCCUGACUUCCCAAACUGGAG